This 384-nucleotide ribosomal RNA is filed under the name uncultured bacterium. Its description in RNAcentral is "bacterial SSU rRNA". It matches the Rfam family "Bacterial small subunit ribosomal RNA", at positions 29 to 412 of the family's 1533-position model. The record is from RNAcentral.
AUUGAACGCUGGCGGCAUGCCUUACACAUGCAAGUCGAGCGGCAGCGCGGGGCAACCCUGGCGGCGAGCGGCGAACGGGUGAGUAAUACAUCGGAACGUGUCCUCUUGUGGGGGAUAACCAGCCGAAAGGUUGGCUAAUACCGCAUGAGCUCGAGAGAGGAAAGCGGGGACCGCAAGGCCUCGCGCGAGAGGAGCGGCCAAUGCCGGAUUAGCUAGUUGGUGGGGUAAUGGCCCACCAAGGCGACGAUCCGUAGCUGGUCUGAGAGGACGACCAGCCACACUGGGACCUGAGACACGGGCCCCAGACUCCUACGGGAGGCAGCAGUGGGGAAUUUUGGGACAAUGGGCGCAAGCCUGAUCCAGCCAUGCCGCGUGUGCGAAGAA